RNAcentral lists this unclassified non-coding RNA (336 nucleotides) under uncultured Ascomycota. RNAcentral describes it as "sequence contains ITS1". The stretch from base 1 to 105 matches the Rfam family "5.8S ribosomal RNA", at positions 50 to 154 of the family's 154-position model. The record is from RNAcentral. Lineage: Eukaryota; Fungi; Ascomycota.
GAAAUGCGAUAAUUAAUGUGAAUUGCAGAAUUCAGUGAAUCAUCGAGUCUUUGAACGCACAUUGCGCCUUGUGAUAUUCCGCAAGGCAUGCCUGUCUGAGCGUCAGCCUACAUCUCAAGCAAAAGCCUUUAUUGGCUCUUUGUCUUGGAUCAUAUCAAGAAAGCAUUUGGUUUAGAGCUAAUUGCCUCUUGGAAAAUGAUAGAUGGUCAGAGUUUUCUUUGCCAAACGUAAUAUUUAGAAUUCGUUUGUGUGAUUAAGCUCUGGAUGGUCUUGAACCCACAAAUCUUUUAUAGUUGACUUGACCUCAGAUCAGGUAGGGAUACCCGCUGAACUUAA